This 745-nucleotide transfer RNA is filed under the name Bradyrhizobium sp. 17.1. RNAcentral describes it as "partial 16S-23S ribosomal RNA intergenic spacer". The stretch from base 160 to 233 matches the Rfam family "tRNA". The record is from RNAcentral. RNAcentral also lists the same sequence under 1 other name. Lineage: Bacteria; Pseudomonadati; Pseudomonadota; Alphaproteobacteria; Hyphomicrobiales; Nitrobacteraceae.
CUAUCGGAUCGUUUUAGAAACAUCAGUGGCCAACGGUCGUCAGGAUCGUUGAGCUGCAUUGGCGGGAUUUCGCCGUCUUCGUUUCUCUUUCUUCGCGGACGAACACGCGCUGGGCCUGCAUGGUUGCAGGAUCCCGGUCCUUAACUGGAUAUGCGUUAGGGGCUUGUAGCUCAGUUGGUUAGAGCGCGCGCUUGAUAAGCGUGAGGUCGGAAGUUCAAGUCUUCCCAGGCCCACCACACUCAUCGAGUGAGCAUUCGUCUUCUGGUUACGGGGCCAUAGCUCAGCUGGGAGAGCGCGUGCUUUGCAAGCAUGAGGUCGUCGGUUCGAUCCCGUCUGGCUCCACCAGAUGGUUUGAUCACCGACAACUCAACCGUCGUCCGCGAAACAUCACUUCGCACCCACUAGUCCGGAUGGACAGUGACGUGCGUGAUUUCUGACAUCGUAAAGAGGAGAUCGAUCCGAGUUGGAUCGUGCAGAAGAUUUCUGCGCGGUACUCCAUUAUCUCCGGAUCAUUUCGGCGCUCGCGCGUCUUCCAGGGUAGCUCACAAGGCUGCAUUGAAAGACAAGCGAGUUGUAAAUGAUCCUUUUAGCGAAGCUUGACCGCCUCGCUAUCGGAACGAUCUUACGAAGCAAGCUGGUCUUUCUAAUCAUUGUCCGGCUGUACGUAGCGUUCAUCGAGGGCGCGCGCCGCAAGGCAAUCGUACAGACAACAUUCUGCCGAGUGUGUGGACAUUGAUAAUGAGAG